UCAAGCUAAAAAGAGCGCAGGGUGGAUGCCUUGGCACUAAGAGCCGAUGAAAGACGUGAUAAGCUGCGAUAAGCUACGGGGAGGAGCACAUAUCCAUUGAUCCGUAGAUUUCUGAAUGGGGAAACCCGGCUGAGCAUACCUCAGUCACCGUACACUGAAUCCAUAGGUGUACGGAGGGAACCCGGUGAACUGAAACAUCUAAGUAGCCGGAGGAAGAGAAAGAAAACUCGAUUUUCAAAGUAGCGGCGAGCGAAAUGGAAAGAGCCCAAACCGGAGUGCGUGCACUCCGGGGUUCGGACUGCAUUUAUGACUUCUGACUGUAGCGGAACGGUUCUGGAAAGACCGGCCAGAGAGGGUGAGAGCCCCGUAGGCGAAACGGAAAGAAGCAGAGCAGGAUCCAGAGUACCACGAGACACGAGAAACCUUGUGGGAAUGAGCGGGGACCACCCCGUAAGGCUAAAUACUCCUUAGUGACCGAUAGAGCAGAGUACUGUGAAGGAAAGGUGAAAAGGACCCCGGGAGGGGAGUGAAAGAGAACCUGAAACCCUGUGUUUACAAACUGUGGAAGUACCAUAUGAGUACAACCGCGUACUUUUUGUAGAACGGUCCGGCGAGUUACGUUUACUGGCGAGGUUAAGCACUUAAGGUGCGGAGCCGAAGGGAUACCAAGUCUUAACAGGGCGUUAAGUCAGUGUACGUAGACCCGAAACCGGGUGAUCUACCCAUGUCCAGGCUGAAGUUGCCGUAAAAGGCAAUGGAGGGCCGAACGCACAUCCGUUGAAAAGGGUGGCGAUGAGGUGUGGGUAGGGGAGAAAUUCCAAUCGAACCCGGAGAUAGCUGGUUCUCCUCGAAAUAGCUUUAGGGCUAGCCUCGUGUUAACCUUGUGGAGGUAGAGCACUGAAUAUCCUAGGGGGCGUCAAAGUCUACCGAAGAUUAUCAAACUCCGAAUGCCAUAGAGGUGAUGCACGGGAGUCAGACUGCACGAGAUAAGUUGGGUGGUCAAAAGGGAAAGAGCCCAGACCUACAGCUAAGGUCCCAAAGUGCGUGUUAAGUGGAAAAGGAUGUGGGAUUUCGAAGACAACUAGGAUGUUGGCUCAGAAGCAGCCAUACAUUCAAAGAGUGCGUAAUAGCUCACUAGUCGAGAGGUCCUGCGCCGAAAAUGUCCGGGGCUGAAACACGACACCGAAGCUUAGGACUCCUUUUAGGAGUGGUAGAGGAGCAUUGUUAGCGCAGCGAAGCUGUACCGAUAAGGAGCAGUGGAGUGCUAAGAAGAGAGAAUGCCGGAAUGAGUAGCGAGAGGAAGGUGAGAAUCCUUCCGGCCGAAUAUCCAAGGUUUCCAGAGUAAAGCUGAUCUGCUCUGGGUAAGUCGGGGCCUAAGGCGAGGUCGAAAGACGUAGUCGAUGGAUAACAGGUGGAGAUUCCUGUACUAUGUGUACCCAGAACUGUGGGGACGCAUGUGGAGAGCAUGAGCCGGGAAAGAGAAAACCGGUACAAGCGGGGUAGGAGUAAGGACAGCAAAUCUUCCUUACAAUCCGAAGACGUGAUGUGGACCGAACCAAAGUAGGGAAGCAUGUGAGCCAUGUGCCAAGAAAAGCCGCUAUUGUGAUACACAUACCCGUACCGUAAACCGACACAGGUGGAUGAGGAGAGAAUCCUAAGGCCGACGGAAGAAGCAUUGUUAAGGAACUCGGCAAAAUGACCCCGUAACUUCGGGAGAAGGGGUGCCCUGUGAAAGCAGGGCCGCAGAGAAUAGGCUCAAGCAACUGUUUAGCAAAAACACAGGUCUAUGCGAAACCGAAAGGUGAGGUAUAUGGGCUGACGCCUGCCCGGUGCUGGAAGGUUAAGAGGAGAAGUCAGGCAACGAAGCUUCGAAUUUAAGCCCCAGUAAACGGCGGCCGUAACUAUAACGGUCCUAAGGUAGCGAAAUUCCUUGUCGGGUAAGUUCCGACCCGCACGAAAGGCGUAAUGAUUUGAGCACUGUCUCGACAAUGCAUCCGGUGAAAUUGAAGUACCAGUGAAGAUGCUGGUUACCUGCGCCAGGACGGAAAGACCCCAUGGAGCUUUACUCCAGCUUGAUACUGGGA
Molecule: ribosomal RNA, 2084 nt
Filed under: gut metagenome
Description: bacterial LSU rRNA
Rfam family: Bacterial large subunit ribosomal RNA
Source: RNAcentral